CUAAACAAAAUAAUUCAAUCUUCAUCAUGUCAAUUAUUACUACUCUACUACUUCCAGUUCCAGGUCUGGAGAAAGAUCACUCUCAUGUUCUACCUCAGGCUGGAGUUUUCGCGAGUUGCAUCAUAUUUCUUGCUUCGUGAGGUCAAAUAGAAGCUCAUGUUAAUGGGAAAAGGGAAUUUGGAAAGGUCCUAGAAGUACCAUGUAUCUAUACCUUUCCUGGAAAGAAAAAAACUAAUCGAUAGGAUGAAGGAACUACUCGACUAAGACUCAACUGUGACUAGACGGCCAUUUUACUAGUUAAUUAAAUACUUGGUUAUUAAUAAUAAUAAUGAAUAGUAUUAUAUGCGGCGUCUAUUUGAAGGCGGCGGUAA
Molecule: long non-coding RNA, 371 nt
Organism: Amphimedon queenslandica
Lineage: Eukaryota; Metazoa; Porifera; Demospongiae; Haplosclerida; Niphatidae
Exons: 2
Source: RefSeq, a predicted model, not a curated record